AGUUCACGCAAGCCCUGUGGGCAAAAGGUGGAGUGAAAGAAACUUAGUCUGAACCUGAAUUCCUCCAAAAAGCUUCUACAAAACAACUUUGCUCCCAGGCGACACUAGAAGGGGACAGCACUGUCAUACAACAGAGCUCUGUUUCUUUGCAUCAAAAAUAUACUGAAGCCACAUAAUAUAACUGUAGAGGAUUGCAAUAAAGAGUAUGGCUAUAUCUAAAAUGGAGAAAGAUGGGAAAAUGAAAACAUAGCUGUCACUGUCCCACUUGUUCAAAGGGGAACCAAGAGAGCCUUAAAACCUCUGUGGGUGACAUGGGAUAGAAAGAAUAAAAUAUUCAUACUCA
Anolis sagrei ordinatus is the source of this 343-nucleotide long non-coding RNA. RefSeq lists it as uncharacterized. The record is from RefSeq and is a predicted model, not a curated record. NCBI's taxonomy places the organism in Eukaryota, Metazoa, Chordata, Lepidosauria, Squamata, Anolidae.